AUUGAACGCUGGCGGCAGGCCUAACACAUGCAAGUCGAACGGUAGCACAGAGAGCUUGCUCUCGGGUGACGAGUGGCGGACGGGUGAGUAAUGUCUGGGAAACUGCCCGAUGGAGGGGGAUAACUACUGGAAACGGUAGCUAAUACCGCAUAACGUCGCAAGACCAAAGUGGGGGACCUUCGGGCCUCACACCAUCGGAUGUGCCCAGAUGGGAUUAGCUAGUAGGUGGGGUAAUGGCUCACCUAGGCGACGAUCCCUAGCUGGUCUGAGAGGAUGACCAGCCACACUGGAACUGAGACACGGUCCAGACGCCUACGGGAGGCAGCGGUGGGGAAUAUUGCACGAUGGGCGCAAGCCUGAUGCAGCCAUGACGCGUGUAUGAAGAAGGCCUUCGGGUUGUAAAGUACUUUCAGCGGGGAGGAAGGCGGUGAAGUUAAUAGCUUCACCGAUUGACGUUACCCGCAGAAGAAGCACCGGCUAUCUCCGUGCCAGCAGCCGCCGUAA
This 504-nucleotide ribosomal RNA is filed under the name uncultured bacterium. Its description in RNAcentral is "partial 16S ribosomal RNA". It matches the Rfam family "Bacterial small subunit ribosomal RNA", at positions 30 to 523 of the family's 1533-position model. The record is from RNAcentral.